AGUGUAGGCGGUCGGGUAAGUCAGAGGUGAAAGCCCUCAGCUCAACUGAGGAAUUGCCUUUGAUACUGCUCGACUUGAGGACAGGAGAGGAAAGUGGAAUUCCCGGUGUAGCGGUGGAAUGCGUAGAUAUCGGGAGGAACACCAGAGGCGAAGGCGGCUUUCUGGACUGCUCCUGACGCUGAGACUCGAAAGCUAGGGUAGCAAACA
RNAcentral lists this ribosomal RNA (207 nucleotides) under uncultured bacterium. RNAcentral describes it as "partial 16S ribosomal RNA". It matches the Rfam family "Bacterial small subunit ribosomal RNA", at positions 568 to 774 of the family's 1533-position model. The record is from RNAcentral.